Bactrocera neohumeralis is the source of this 1370-nucleotide long non-coding RNA. RefSeq lists it as uncharacterized. NCBI's taxonomy places the organism in Eukaryota, Metazoa, Arthropoda, Insecta, Diptera, Tephritidae. The transcript has 2 exons. The record is from RefSeq and is a predicted model, not a curated record.
GAACAUUUCCUAGUCCUAAAGGAAUAAUCGGAAAAUAAUACCCUGACGGUCUUUUCACAAGUGUACCGAGGCAUGGUAUCACAAUCGAGCGAAUUGAUGCUUCUAUUCAGAAACCAUGAUGCAUUUCGUGAAUGCGAACAGCAACGGCAUCAACAGCGGUAGCGUCAAUCAUUUGGGCGAUCCGGAAGAUGCCAUUCAAAAAUUCCUUGUGAAUCUCUUUCCGUUCGCCUAUCACUUGAUUACGGAUUACAUGAAUUACUUGAAGGAUACAUUCAACGAUAUACAGUCGUUUGACAGGAUAUCAAAGAAGAUCAAUUCUUCAUAAAUUCAUUGCAAAAGAGCGCUGAGGUUCUCAGCUAAACUGGUCAGUUGUAGAUGUAAAAUAGAACGUAUAAAUUAGAGAUGAUGUAACAGUAGUAAAGUAGAUGUAACAGAGAACAUUUAAAUUAAAGAAGGUUCAAUUGCGGAUCAACGUAUAAAUUUUUAAAAGUUAAGAAAAUGUUAUGAGCGUAUUUCACCACAGCCAGCAGGAAGAAGAAAUUUUAACAGAGCCACGUAAACUGAAAUGAGCAUUGAUUGAAAUUAGGCUCAGACAUUUCGCUUGAUAUUACAACCAGUUGUUAGUCCUUUGCCUUAUAUUUUAGUACAUUUAUAUGCCAUCAUAUACAUUGGUAUGAAUAUCAUUAGGCGAAUUUUUAUGAAAGCUAGUUAACUUUCCGUAGUUUGCAAAAGGUUAUUGUUUAAAAAUUGGUGAGGACGCUACUCAAUUCUAGUGAGUUACUAAACAGAGCUUUUUUUUUAUUUCUUAUUAUUUUAUACAAUAUUUUGCUUAGGCCUAAGAAAAAAUCAGCUUACAUUCUAUGAAGCGCAGAGCUUAAGUGUUAGAUUAUGUGCUUCCUAAUUCUAUGAAUUGUGUUUUAUUUAUGUAUUCUCUCCAUAUGUCGUUUAUAAAUCUUUGAAACUUUUCAACCCGAAAGGCAUUCGGAGGUAUUCAUAUAGUACUGCCGGAGUAACAAAAGCUGUUUUCUUGAUGCCAAUAAAAUCUGGUGGUAACUUUUUGCUAAAUCUAUAGAGCUAAAGUAUUGUGCCUUGCCCAAUUUAUCCAAGAUUCCUUCGACAUUUGGUAAAGGAUACUUAUCGUCUACAGUUAAUUGAUUUAAUCAUUUCGUAUGAAUAAAUCAUAUGAUUCAUUAAAAUCCAUAAAUAACAAUAUCUUUCUGACGUUUUAUGGAUAUUCGAAUUGGACAAGAUUUUUUUAUAAUGCUCUUAUGUUUGAGUCUGAGUCAACUAGAGCGUAAAAUUGUUUCUCAAGAAUUGUUAAUACAAUUAUAAUUGUACUUUCCCAAGAUUCCGAGGCUACUUUGUAAAAA